This 214-nucleotide long non-coding RNA is filed under the name Nicotiana benthamiana. RNAcentral's name for it is "long non-coding RNA (NBEN_LNC016529)". Lineage: Eukaryota; Viridiplantae; Streptophyta; Magnoliopsida; Solanales; Solanaceae. The record is from RNAcentral.
UUUUGUUGCAUGUGCUUGUUGAUACAAUUUUUAUGUUAUAAAUGGUGUUCGUCUUAUUUUAGCUUCUUUUUGUCCAUAUAAAUUAGGCGCGUUUAUAGGAAUAUACUUUCCGUGGAAUCCCGCAAAUUUUCUUAUUGGUGUAAUCGAUAACCGAAUCGAUAAGCCCCCUAAAUCGAUAAAUCAAAAUCAAAAAAAUCGAAACCUUAUUGAAACG